RNAcentral lists this long non-coding RNA (295 nucleotides) under Gossypium raimondii (Peruvian cotton). Its description in RNAcentral is "long non-coding RNA (GRAI_LNC001717)". Lineage: Eukaryota; Viridiplantae; Streptophyta; Magnoliopsida; Malvales; Malvaceae. The record is from RNAcentral.
GAGAUGCACCAUGAAUCCCUCCCGGAAGCUUUCCCUGGUGACAAUGUUGGGUUCAACGUUAAAAACGUUGCUGUUAAGGAUCUUAAACGUGGUUUUGUUGCUUCAAACUCCAAGGAUGAUCCGGCCAAGGAAGCUGCCAACUUCACCUCUCAGGUUAUCAUCAUGAACCACCCUGGCCAAAUUGGAAAUGGUUAUGCCCCAGUCCUCGACUGCCACACCUCUCACAUUGCUGUCAAAUUUUCCGAACUGUUGACCAAGAUUGACAGACGAUCUGGCAAGGAACUCGAGAAGGAAC